This 67-nucleotide non-coding RNA is filed under the name Hafnia paralvei. RNAcentral also lists the same sequence under 1 other name. Lineage: Bacteria; Pseudomonadati; Pseudomonadota; Gammaproteobacteria; Enterobacterales; Hafniaceae. The record is from RNAcentral.
GAAGGCACGACAUUGCUCACAUUGCUUCCAGUGUUUUUUUAGCCAGCUCGGGUGCUGGCUUUUUUUU